GCACUGGUUUUGCUCCGGGCGGUGACUUCCCUCUUCAAAUCUACUUGGGAGCUUCCGCCGUCUCUAUCCCUCCCUUGGAUCCAACCGCGGGCGCUCUCCAGUGUCUUC
This 108-nucleotide vault RNA is filed under the name Sparus aurata (gilthead seabream). RNAcentral describes it as "Vault RNA (ENSSAUG00010001513.1)". It matches the Rfam family "Vault RNA". From Rfam's summary of the family: This family of RNAs are found as part of the enigmatic vault ribonucleoprotein complex. The complex consists of a major vault protein (MVP), two minor vault proteins (VPARP and TEP1), and several small untranslated RNA molecules. Lineage: Eukaryota; Metazoa; Chordata; Actinopteri; Spariformes; Sparidae. The record is from Rfam by way of RNAcentral.